Long non-coding RNA from Girardinichthys multiradiatus, 1003 nucleotides. RefSeq lists it as uncharacterized. The record is from RefSeq and is a predicted model, not a curated record. Lineage: Eukaryota; Metazoa; Chordata; Actinopteri; Cyprinodontiformes; Goodeidae. The transcript is spliced from 3 exons.
GAGCCGAGGAGCAGGCAGCUACAAUGGAGCGGGAAGAGGAAAUGCUGAUGUGGCAGAGAUGGCGGCGAACUCACAGCAGGAUGAUUGGUUUGAGGGAUGAAGAUGGAAGGAGAACUGCUGGAGAAACCAGGCCGGGUGACGCAGCGGCGGGAGCCGGUGAGGAGGCAGGGCUACCUUGGCGACGCUUAGCAGGAGAAGAGUAGGAGUUCUUGAUGCACUUUCCGCAAGGAAGAAAUGAGCCAUGAAGAGAGGCAAGCGCUCCUACGAGCGGUAGGGGAGGAAGGAGAGUCUGUUACAAACAGUGCGAGGAGGCGUCGGAGUCGUAGAUGAGCUCAGUUGACAAGCGAAGAUGAACACGGUAGAAGUUCCUUUAAAAGCAAGGCAUCAGAAGGUGAUUGGAUGGAGAAUCAGACAGACAGGAUGCUGAUUGGAAGGGCGGGAGACGCACCGAAGAGUCACUGGAAGGUGGAGUACAGGGGCCACAACAGGAGCCAGGACAAGUUCCACAGGGGCACUGGUCCCUGUUGGACCCUGUCUAGAACUGCCCAUGAGUGAAGGAAGUGACCUAAGAAAAGCAGGCAAGUAGUUCGACGGGAAUUGGUCCUUUAUGUAAACUUUAAGAGAUUUGAAGUUUCUUUUUUGCUGUUAUGAGAAUAAACUUUCUCAUUUUACUAAAAUAUGUCUUGAACAUUUACUUUUAAAACCACUAUUGUUUAGGAUUUUGUUACUGGACAACCUUCAAAUCCUUAGAUCAGAGCGUUUCCCACUGUCCAAACAUAAAAAUUCUCAUUCGCUACAAAAAGGUUUUAUGUCUUUCCAUCUAUUCACAAACUGUUGAGGAUCAUUUUAACGCAUUGGUGUAAUCUUUUGUAAACUCAAGUUGAUGUUGGAAUAAUUGUAUAUAGAUGUAUCUUAUAUUUUUUCCUUUUCUAUUAACUUUACAAUUUGAUCUUUAUAACCUUUCAUGCUGUAUGUGUGAGUAAGGACGUGAUGAGUUUGUUUG